Molecule: small nucleolar RNA, 90 nt
Filed under: Erinaceus europaeus (western European hedgehog)
Lineage: Eukaryota; Metazoa; Chordata; Mammalia; Eulipotyphla; Erinaceidae
Description: Small nucleolar RNA SNORA31 (ENSEEUG00000023118.1)
Rfam family: Small nucleolar RNA SNORA31
About the family: ACA31 (SNORA31) belongs to the H/ACA class of snoRNAs which are thought to guide the sites of modification of uridines to pseudouridines.
Source: RNAcentral
UAGCACGAGGAUGCAAGAGGAAAAAAUCCUUGUGCUUUUCUGUCUGUUUUCGUUUUUGUGGUGGCCCAGAUUGAAUAAGGGAAUACAUUU